GUGGAGCAGCGUCCGCGAGCCUGCCCGCCUGUCGCUCCGAUCGGGCCUUAUUUACUGACGAUGUGGAUAUACGGUUCAGCAGAACCCUCAACUCGUGCAAGGUUCCGCAAAUCAGAUCGGCUACUCCAGAGAGAUUGUUGCAGAGAUUGACUGAUUUGCGGUUCCUGUCGGUGGACUUCCUGAACACGUUCCUGCUGACGUACCGCGUGUUCACGGACGGCGUGAC
This 226-nucleotide unclassified non-coding RNA is filed under the name Melitaea cinxia (Glanville fritillary). RNAcentral's name for it is "misc RNA ENSMCXG00005016739.1". Lineage: Eukaryota; Metazoa; Arthropoda; Insecta; Lepidoptera; Nymphalidae. The record is from RNAcentral.